RNAcentral lists this ribosomal RNA (497 nucleotides) under uncultured bacterium. Its description in RNAcentral is "partial 16S ribosomal RNA". It matches the Rfam family "Bacterial small subunit ribosomal RNA", at positions 28 to 507 of the family's 1533-position model. The record is from RNAcentral.
GACGAACGCUGGCGGCGUGCCUAAUACAUGCAAGUCGUGCGGACCUUUUAAAAGCUUGCUUUUAAAAGGUUAGCGGCGGACGGGUGAGUAACACGUGGGCAACCUGCCUGUAAGACUGGGAUAACGCCGGGAAACCGGGGCUAAUACCGGAUCGUCUUUCCCCCGCUUGGGGGGAAAGGAAAGUCUGGUUCGGUGGGCACGUACUCGCGGGGCCUCGGCGCCUUAGCUGGGUGGCGGGGUAGCGGGCCAUCAAGGCAAGGAUGCGUCGCCGACCUGAGAGGGUGAGUGGCCACAUUGGGACGGAGACACGGCCCAAACUGCUACGGGAGGCAGCAGGAGGGAAACGGGCGCAAUGGGCGAAAGUCUGAGGGAGAAACGCCGCGUGAGGGAAGAAGGCCGUCGGGUCGUAAAACUCGGUUGCCGGGGAAGAACAAGUGCCGGUCGAACAGGGCGGCGCCUUGACGGUACCCGGUCAGAAAGCCACGGCUAACUACGUG